This 150-nucleotide ribosomal RNA is filed under the name uncultured eukaryote. RNAcentral's name for it is "partial small subunit ribosomal RNA". It matches the Rfam family "Eukaryotic small subunit ribosomal RNA", at positions 1651 to 1798 of the family's 1831-position model. The record is from RNAcentral.
CCCUGCCAUUUGUACACACCGCCCGUCGCACCUACCGAUUGAAUGGUCCGGUGAAACUUUCGGAUCGUGGCUGGCACCGUCCCUGUGGCGGCUCAGCCGUGAAAAGUCAGUUAAACCUUAUCAUUUAGAGGAAGGUGAAGUCGUAACAAG